Molecule: ribosomal RNA, 468 nt
Filed under: uncultured bacterium
Lineage: Bacteria
Description: partial 16S ribosomal RNA
Rfam family: Bacterial small subunit ribosomal RNA
Source: RNAcentral
GACGAACGCUGGCGGCGUGCUUAACACAUGCAAGUCGAACGGAAAGGCCCUGCUUUUGUGGGGUGCUCGAGUGGCGAACGGGUGAGUAACACGUGAGUAACCUGCCCUUGACUUUGGGAUAACUUCAGGAAACUGGGGCUAAUACCGGAUAGGAGCUCCUGCUGCAUGGUGGGGGUUGGAAAGUUUCGGCGGUUGGGGUUGGACUCGCGGCUUAUCCGCUUGUUGGUGGGGUAGUGGCUUACCAAGGCUUUGACGGGUAGCCGGCCUGAGAGGGUGCCCGGCCACAUUGGGACUGAGAUACGGCCCAGACUCCUACGGGAGGCAGCAGUGGGGAAUAUUGCACAAUGGGCGGAAGCCGGAUGCAGCAACGCCGCGUGCGGGAUGACGGCCUUCGGGUUGUAAACCGCUUUCGCCUGUGACGAAGCGUGAGUGACGGUAAUGGGUAAAGAAGCACCGGCUAACUACGUG